CCCCUUUGUAACUUUUUGGUGGGUAAGUUUUAGGGAUCCAUUGACCAAGUCACCUAUGUUUUGGUGUCGGUCCAUCAAAGCUUCUGGUCGAUCGGCCCUAAAUAAUGUAUGAUUUGAAAUUGCGCAUGUCCUAGCGCUAGCCUAGCCUAGCCCUGCACUGGAUCGGGAAACGUACACCUAGCUACCGUAGCUUUUCAGAGACGAUGCUGAAGUAUUCACGUAUUGCUAUCAAAAUUAAAACUACCGUGUACAUAAAGUUCAUACAGUGAUUACUAUUUUGAUCUUAUUAUUGUCAGAAGCCACACGAAAGGAUUUAUAUCUCGACUCUUUUCCACUCCAGCCUCAGUAUCGGACGUGUACGUGGCAGUUCCGCCAGAACUCUGGCCAAGGAAGUGCACCAUAUGCUCAUUUGGACAACUGCUGACGUCGACGAGACUGUCGUAGCUCAAUCAGUAGGACGUGUACGUCGUAGGCCUACCUAGAUCAGAUUCAGAAGGAGGUAGGGCCGGGAGGCGGGAGCGAGAUCCAACGUUAGUACCGUAGCUACAUUUUAUUAUAGCUAGCUAAGGCUAAGUCCGAUUUCUGAGAAUUUGCUGAGUUGCCGAGACCAAGCAAGGUUUUAACGUUAGGGCUUUACUUUAGCCUGAAAAGUUUAAAAAAGUUUAAGCACUAAGUGCCUUAUAAGUCUCUCGUCGAAUAAUUAAACGGAACAACUAACAAGUACACGACACAGGCAGAUUCAAUGUGUCUGGAAAACUGAAAACUUCACAACAAGUUGUAGACACAACACAUGAAUCUUCUUUUAACUGCAUGUACUAGAGGCCUGCUGCUUAGAGUUUAGUGUAAUCAUCAUGGUUGAAUUUAAAGAUCCAAAUUCUCCAAUGGAAGAAGGUUUCGAUAAUCGUGUGUUCAUCGUUCCAGCCAUCAUAAUCAUAGGCCUAAUUGGUUUUGUUGUCUACAAGCUUGCGACAAGUAUCCAUGGCAGGGAGAAGGCAAGGAGGGAUAAGAAACAGAAAAAAAUGGAAUCUCGCAGAAGAUAACAUGAAACAUAAUAAAGUACCACUGCAAACUUCUGGUCACAAUAUGCUAAAUAGCCAUUGACAAAGGUUUAUUAUCCAUGUACAUAUCAAGGUCUGUUGGCCAAUUUUUAAAAAGUGUGAGACUGAAAAUACAUGCAAGGCUUUCAAUCUACACUUUGAUGAUUUUACAAAUGGCUUACUGCCAAUAGUUGUAUUACAUCUGUGUCAAGUCAGUGCAAUGUAGGAUUACAAUGUGAAGAAAGAUCUUUUUGUGUAAAUCCUUUUCUUGAAGAUAAAUUAUAUGUAUGUCAGUGCUGGUGGUCACCAGUUGACUUCUCUUUUAUUUUGAAAUUCAUA
Lytechinus variegatus (green sea urchin) is the source of this 1376-nucleotide long non-coding RNA. RefSeq lists it as uncharacterized. The transcript has 2 exons. NCBI's taxonomy places the organism in Eukaryota, Metazoa, Echinodermata, Echinoidea, Temnopleuroida, Toxopneustidae. The record is from RefSeq and is a predicted model, not a curated record.